Molecule: ribosomal RNA, 672 nt
Filed under: uncultured bacterium
Lineage: Bacteria
Description: bacterial SSU rRNA
Rfam family: Bacterial small subunit ribosomal RNA
Source: RNAcentral
AUCCAACCUUCCGUACACUCAGGGAUAGCCUUUCGAAAGAAAGAUUAAUACCUGAUGGUAUGAUGAGAUUGCAUGGUAUCAUCAUUAAAGAUUUAUCGGUGUACGAUGGGGAUGCGUUCCAUUAGGUAGUAGGCGGGGUAACGGCCCACCUAGCCAACGAUGGAUAGGGGUUCUGAGAGGAAGGUCCCCCACAUUGGAACUGAGACACGGUCCAAACUCCUACGGGAGGCAGCAGUGAGGAAUAUUGGUCAAUGGACGAGAGUCUGAACCAGCCAAGUAGCGUGAAGGAUGAAGGUCCUACGGAUUGUAAACUUCUUUUAUAAGGGAAUAAACCCUCCCACGUGUGGGAGCUUGUAUGUACCUUAUGAAUAAGCAUCGGCUAACUCCGUGCCAGCAGCCGCGGUAAUACGGAGGAUGCGAGCGUUAUCCGGAUUUAUUGGGUUUAAAGGGAGCGCAGACGGGUCGUUAAGUCAGCUGUGAAAGUUUGGGGCUCAACCUUAAAAUUGCAGUUGAUACUGGCGUCCUUGAGUGCGGUUGAGGUGUGCGGAAUUCGUGGUGUAGCGGUGAAAUGCUUAGAUAUCACGAAGAACUCCGAUUGCGAAGGCAGCACACUAAUCCGUAACUGACGUUCAUGCUCGAAAGUGUGGGUAUCAAACAGGAUUAGAUACCCUG